This 428-nucleotide ribosomal RNA is filed under the name uncultured bacterium. RNAcentral's name for it is "bacterial SSU rRNA". It matches the Rfam family "Bacterial small subunit ribosomal RNA", at positions 355 to 775 of the family's 1533-position model. The record is from RNAcentral.
UGGGGAAUCUUGCGCAAUGCGCGAAAGCGUGACGCAGCAACGCCGCGUGCGGGAAGACGGCCUUCGGGUUGUAAACCGCUUUCAGUUGGGACGAAGCUCUGCCGGUGAAUAGCCGGUUGGAGUGACGGUACCUUCACAAGAAGCCCCGGCUAACUACGUGCCAGCAGCCGCGGUAAUACGUAGGGGGCAAGCGUUGUCCGGAAUCAUUGGGCGUAAAGCGCGUGUAGGCGGCCCGGUAAGUCCGCUGUGAAAGUCCAGGGCUCAACCCUGGGAUGCCGGUGGAUACUGUCGGGCUCGAGUCCGGAAGAGGAGUGUGGAAUUCCUGGUGUAGCGGUGAAAUGCGCAGAUAUCAGGAGGAACACCAAUGGCGAAGGCAGCACUCUGGGACGUGACUGACGCUGAGACGCGAAAGCGUGGGGAGCAAACAG